AGACAACAAACUAGAUACAGACACAUAAACAGAUAGAGAAAUAGCCAGAUACAUAUACAGGCAAAGUGAGAAACAGAAGUUUUACAAAACAUAUUUACAGCUAGCUAGCUAUGUGACAGAUAAACUAAACAAAAGUUGCCCAAAACAACAUUUCUUCCAAAUGUGGGUGUUUAAAUCUGAUAUUUUCUAUUUUAUAAUAUUCCGCUUCAUUGUUUUAAAAUGCUAGUUGUACUCAGUUGAUUUCAUGAACCUCCAGCAGGUCGUGACCAUAGUGUGAAAACACUGGUAUUGAAACCCCUAGUGGUACUCAGUUGAUUUCAUGAAUCUCCAGCAGGUCAUGACCAUAGUGUGAAAACACUGGUGUUGAAACCCUAACCAAGAGUGCACAGCCAGUGUGCAGCAGAAUGAGCCUCCAGUCACCAGCCCAGAGCUCUCAGACAGAAUUGAGUUCCCAUACAGUAGGACUUUCCACUCAUGUCUGCGGUCUAGGAGGAGAUUGGGUUGAGCAGCCACCAGGCACGAUGGAGCAACAAUUAACCCUGGAGUUGUGGAGGCAGGACCACAAGCCGAGAGAGGGCAGCAGUGGAAACCCAGCCAAACUAUUAAUGGAAGGCUGGGUCCCAUUCUUUAUUAUCCUUCUGUGGUCUCAUCACCAGCGGGGUGAGCCAAAGCCGAGGGCAAGAACACGCUGGGUGACCUUCCACACCCCAAAUGCAAGAUCAAGUGCUGUGGAGAAGGUGGUAUAAACAGGAGAAAAAGCACUGGGUAUAAGAAUCCACAAAAGGUGAUGUAAGAGUAAAUUAGGAGUGAAUAGUAAUAGUAGCAGCAACAACGAUGGCUGAGUGUUGAGUGUCUGCCACAAGCCAGGUACAGCGCCAAGGGCUGUCUUCAAGAGACAGGCACGGUAACAAAACCAACUGAUGGGGACUGCGAUGGGAGGGGUGGACAGAGGCUGCCCGGAUGCACAUCCUGGCUCUGCCACUUGCUGACAAUGUGGGCUUGCAUAUGUCACAUUAGAUGGGGACGGCUGUAACAAUUUCCUCAUAGGCUGUCAGGAGGAUUCAGUGCAAUAAUUCAAGUUCAGUGCUGGGAACACUGUUAGUGCUCAGCAAGUGUAAAUUAUUUGUUCCUUGAAAUUAAGAAAAAGAGAAAUGAUUGAUAGAUAGGACAGAGAUAGCUAGAGAGAGAGAGAUAAACAUUGAUAUAUUUAAAAAUACAUCUCUCCACCAUAUUCCAAUGCAACUGCAAUUCUACACAUUUCUUUCACUGCAAAAUUCAGUAUGUUUAUAUGACAUAAAAUAUCAGUUGUAUACCACCUGAGGGGAAACCAAGAAAGAGAAAAGCUGACAGUGACUCUUCCUGACUGAUAUUAAGUCUAAAAAUGCUGUGAUUUAUUGACUAUUCUUAGUGAGUACAGAUGGCUUUGAUAAAAUGAUUUGUAUUUUAAUUUAUUACUUCAAUAAAUAUAUAUUGGAUAACAUUUGGAAAAAUAAAAUGAAUUUUAAAAUCUGCUUCUCACGUUAAUAUUUUAGGUAUUUUCCUUCUCAUUUUAUUUCAUACAGUCAUUGUACAAAGGAUUGUGAAUGCACACACUCACAAUUGUGUACCUUUCAAUUCUAUUUCAUUGAUAAUUAUUUUAAAACUUUAUAUACCUUUGUAAUAAUAUUUCAAAUAUCUACAUAUUAUGAUUUUAUACGGAUGAUAAAUGAUUUACCUAACCUUUGCUCUGCAUUGGAUAUUUCUGUUCUUUCUAAACGGUAAUGAUUUUGAAUAGACACAUGUUCAUGCCAUUAAGAAUAACAGGAGAUUGAGGUUAACCUACCCCAGUACAUUUACAAACACUCAAACCCAGUCCUGGUAUCACCAACAUCAAAAUUUGUAUUACCUGAAGACAAUUUUAGGGACAGCUGGAAACACCAUAGCCAUCCUUGUUUCUGUCCUCCUGAAAGAAGAAAGUGCCUAGGCUCUAAGCCACACACAUACAGGUUCAGAAUCUGCUACCUUCUAGCUGUAGCCUUGGGCCGCUGCUUGACCUCUCUAAGCAUUUACUUUCUCAGCCAUAAAACUAUAAAAUAUGAGUAAUAUUGCAACUCUCAUCAGGUGAUUGUAAAGAUUAAAUCACAUUCCUUUGAUCCCUAUGCAUACCAAAUCCCACAUACAUGAUAUUCAUUGUACUAAUCAGGUGUGAGAGCUAUGAGCCCAAAUCUGAUCUCUUUCUGCAGACAGAAAACCUUACGCAGGCAGGAGUGAUGUCUCCUUUGCUCCUUUAGUGCUUAGCAUGAUGACUGUCACGUAACAGGCACUUGGUGAGCAGUUAUUAAACAAAUGACUGAGUAUCCCUCAAUAUGAAAACUUGAAAAAAUGUAGUAAUCAUUUGACCUUCCAGGGAAUGACGAGAACUUCAUUUUCUAUGUCUAACACUACAAUUAUGCACACGACUGAACUUCUAUCGCAGAAUAUUUUCCACUGGGAUGUAAUUGUAUUUAUGGAAAUGAUAAUAUAUCUUCAGCGAAACAAACUUCGAUUCCACUGUCCUACGUGGAAAAAGUCUAGAGAACAAUAGACUUUCCUAGCGGAAUGCCCCCUCCCAGACAUUGCUACAAAAUCACAAAGAAAAGGAAAAAAAGGAAAGUGAUUUUCCAAACAAAGCAUCUCUACAUGUGGGUGGUCAAUGAUGUUUACCUAAAAUGGAUUUGUGGCUGAAGAGAAAAUUCUUAUUUCCCGAAAGGUGAAUCUCACUGAUGUUGAUUACAGAAAUAAGUUGUACUGCUUGAUGUAAAGAGAGGAAAAAGUAACUUUUUAAUUUAUCUCUGCCCUAUACAAACAAGAGCCAGGAAAGAUUACAUGUUUGCCUGUGAUUCAGUUCUAGAGAGGCAAGAGACUCUAUCAAUAUCGAAGCUGUAAAUACCGGAACAUUCGAUUUGCUUUCUGCCCAUGAAAAGCAGAUUUUGUUGCUUUUCUCUUCUCUCUGCCGACAACAUGCAUAAACAGUGGUCCAAAGUGUGAUUAUUCCCUGUGGAUGCCCAGGUCCUUCCUGUUGCCUCCCCUCCACAGUUUGGGGGAAGGACUGUCAAUCCCGGUGAGACACCGCAACCUGGAAGCAGCUUCUUGUUAAUACUUUCCCCAUGAAACUUUGAGCAUUUAGGCAAAACCAACACAAUCACUUUUUCCCUCCAGAUAAAUAAUUAGAUCUCUAAGGCUGCUUAUUAUCAGAAGCCCGUUACGUAAGGAGCAGAAUGAUGGUUCUUUCAUCACGUCGCGUGAGUGGCUGUGACACACACUGGGCACACGUGCGUCCUGACCUGGGCUACAACAGCAUCUGUGGCAGGUAUUCCUAGGGUUCCAGAAAUAGACUCUGCAGACAAGCAGAAUAGAGCGCGGGAAGCAUCUUCGUCUCUUCGGAGCCAUGGUCUCCUAGUCUGCAAACACCUACCAUGUGACCCUCAUCACUGCCUUUUUGUGGGGCCUCAGUGCCAUCGGGCUGGGCUGUGAGGACCCUUUUUCUAAUCACACAACUCUGUACUGACUAUUUUCAAACCAAAGAAUUGGCAAACGUUGU
RNAcentral lists this long non-coding RNA (3559 nucleotides) under Papio anubis (olive baboon). RNAcentral describes it as "lncRNA (ENSPANG00000039159.1)". Lineage: Eukaryota; Metazoa; Chordata; Mammalia; Primates; Cercopithecidae. The record is from RNAcentral.